GGAGAGGUGGCUGAGUGGUCGAAAGCACCGGUUUCGAAAACCGGCAUACCGCAAGGUAUCGUGAGUUCGAAUCUCACCCUCUCCG
Molecule: transfer RNA, 85 nt
Filed under: Candidatus Adlerbacteria bacterium
Lineage: Bacteria; Candidatus Adleribacteriota
Description: tRNA-Ser
Rfam family: tRNA
About the family: Transfer RNA (tRNA) molecules are approximately 80 nucleotides in length. Their secondary structure includes four short double-helical elements and three loops (D, anti-codon, and T loops). Further hydrogen bonds mediate the characteristic L-shaped molecular structure. tRNAs have two regions of fundamental functional importance: the anti-codon, which is responsible for specific mRNA codon recognition, and the 3' end, to which the tRNAs corresponding amino acid is attached (by aminoacyl-tRNA synthetases). tRNAs cope with the degeneracy of the genetic code in two manners: having more than one tRNA (with a specific anti-codon) for a particular amino acid; and 'wobble' base-pairing, i.e. permitting non-standard base-pairing at the 3rd anti-codon position.
Source: RNAcentral